This 103-nucleotide small nuclear RNA is filed under the name Nannospalax galili (Upper Galilee mountains blind mole rat). The record is from RNAcentral. Lineage: Eukaryota; Metazoa; Chordata; Mammalia; Rodentia; Spalacidae.
GUGCUCCCUUCAGCAGCACAUACAUGAAAAUUGGAAUGGCAGAGAUUAGCACGGCCCCUGAACUGAGAUGACAUGCAGGCAUGAAGCAGUCCAUCAAAAUAAA